GACGGAGGGGGCAAGUGUUGUUCGGAAUUACUGGGCGUAAAGGGCGCGCAGGCGGUCAUGCAAGUCGGGGGUGAAAGCCCACGGCUUAACGGUGGAAUUGCCUUCGAAACUGCAUGACUUGAGUACGGAAGAGGAGAGCGGAAUUCCCAGUGUAGCGGUGAAAUGCGUAGAUAUUGGGAGGAACACCAGUGGCGAAGGCGGCUCUCUGGUCCGAUACUGACGCUGAGGCGCGAAAGCCAGGGGAGCAAACGGG
RNAcentral lists this ribosomal RNA (253 nucleotides) under uncultured bacterium. RNAcentral describes it as "partial 16S ribosomal RNA". It matches the Rfam family "Bacterial small subunit ribosomal RNA", at positions 524 to 776 of the family's 1533-position model. The record is from RNAcentral.